Molecule: ribosomal RNA, 253 nt
Filed under: uncultured bacterium
Lineage: Bacteria
Description: partial 16S ribosomal RNA
Rfam family: Bacterial small subunit ribosomal RNA
Source: RNAcentral
UACGAAGGGGGCUAGCGUUGUUCGGAAUCACUGGGCGUAAAGGGCGCGUAGGCGGCUUUAUAAGUCGGGGGUGAAAGCCUGUGGCUCAACCACAGAAUUGCCUUCGAUACUGUAGAGCUUGAGACCGGAAGAGGUAAGUGGAACUGCGAGUGUAGAGGUGAAAUUCGUAGAUAUUCGCAAGAACACCAGUGGCGAAGGCGGCUUACUGGGCCGACACUGACGCUGAGGUGCGAAAGCGUGGGGAGCAAACAGG